GACGAACGCUGGCGGCGUGCUUAACACAUGCAAGUCGAACGGGAAGGCCCUGCUUUUGUGGGGUGCUCGAGUGGCGAACGGGUGAGUAACACGUGAGUAACCUGCCCUUGCCUUUGGGAUAACUUCAGGAAACUGGGACUAAUACCGGAUAGGAGCCCCUGCUGCAUGGUGGGGGUGGGAAAGUUUCGGGGGUUGGGGAUGGACUCGCGGCUUAUCAGCUUGUUGGUGGGGUAGUGGCUUACCAAGGCUUUGACGGGUAGCCGGCCUGAGAGGGUGACCGGCCACAUUGGGACUGAGAUACGGCCCAGACUCCUACGGGAGGCAGCAGUGGGGAAUAUUGCACAAUGGGCGGAAGCCUGAUGCAGCAACGCCGCGUGCGGGAUGACGGCCUUCGGGUUGUAAAACGCUUUCGCCUGUGACGAAGCGUGAGUGACGGUAAUGGGUAAAGAAGCACCGGCUAACUACGUG
This 468-nucleotide ribosomal RNA is filed under the name uncultured bacterium. RNAcentral's name for it is "partial 16S ribosomal RNA". It matches the Rfam family "Bacterial small subunit ribosomal RNA", at positions 28 to 507 of the family's 1533-position model. The record is from RNAcentral.